RNAcentral lists this transfer RNA (72 nucleotides) under Candidatus Sungbacteria bacterium RIFCSPHIGHO2_01_FULL_50_25. RNAcentral's name for it is "tRNA-Glu". It matches the Rfam family "tRNA". From Rfam's summary of the family: Transfer RNA (tRNA) molecules are approximately 80 nucleotides in length. Their secondary structure includes four short double-helical elements and three loops (D, anti-codon, and T loops). Further hydrogen bonds mediate the characteristic L-shaped molecular structure. tRNAs have two regions of fundamental functional importance: the anti-codon, which is responsible for specific mRNA codon recognition, and the 3' end, to which the tRNAs corresponding amino acid is attached (by aminoacyl-tRNA synthetases). tRNAs cope with the degeneracy of the genetic code in two manners: having more than one tRNA (with a specific anti-codon) for a particular amino acid; and 'wobble' base-pairing, i.e. permitting non-standard base-pairing at the 3rd anti-codon position. Lineage: Bacteria; Candidatus Sungiibacteriota. The record is from RNAcentral.
GCUCCUAUCGUCUAGUGGUUAGGACGCCAGGUUCUCAUCCUGGUAACCCGGGUUCGAUUCCCGGUAGGAGCG